RNAcentral lists this long non-coding RNA (624 nucleotides) under Salmo salar (Atlantic salmon). Its description in RNAcentral is "lncRNA (ENSSSAG00000092062.1)". Lineage: Eukaryota; Metazoa; Chordata; Actinopteri; Salmoniformes; Salmonidae. The record is from RNAcentral.
GUAAUACUGUUCUUAAUGCUUCACAGUUAAAGAAAGUAGGGACUAUUGUCUAUUUAACAAUGAAAACAAACCAGGUUCUACCAGUUUUUCUAAUGUUUGUCUGGCAGACCUAAAUUCUACAUAGCUGGUUCUGAGAGGAAGCCAGUUUAAAUAGCAGAACUGUUUUCUUAUCUGACAGGACGUAAGUUGGGUAACUGGUUCAUCUGUGCAUUCUUGCCCCAACUUAAAGAUUUAGAAAACUAAAUGGUGUCAAUCUGUCACUGCCAGUCUUACAGUAAAUGUCUCAGAGGGUAUAAUGGGUUUCCUGCUCAAACAUAAGCUCUGCUGGUAGCUGUGGAUCUUGCCUGUGAGUACUUCACUGGGUAGUCGUCACGCUCCUCCUUGGGUGGGCAGGAGCUGCAGAGGAGACCCCCUCCCAGGAUCAGGAGCCCUGCGGUGCCCCAGCCGAUGUAUAGCGAGGCCCCCAGCUCCCUCCUCUGGGCCUCGACCAACAGGGGGUUGUAGAAAUCCCUGAUGAUGGUGUUGGCGGACCAGCAGACAGGGACGAGGAUGAGGACGCCAGCCACGAUGAAAAUGAUCCCACUGGCAAUGGCUACUUUAGCUUUGGAAGCCUCAUCCUCCACG